CCCUUAGAUGUUCUGGGCUGCACGCGCGCUACACUGAUGCGUUCAACAAGUGUUAACCUUGCCCGAUAGGGUUGGGUAAUCUUUUGAAAGCGCAUCGUGAUGGGGAUCGAUGACUGCAAUUGUUCAUCUUCAACGAGGAAUUCCUAGUAAGCGCAAGUCAUCAGCUUGCACUGAUUACGUCCCUGCCCUUUGUACACACCGCCCGUCGCUCCUACCGAUUGAAUGAUCCGAUGAAUACCAUGGAUUGAGAGUACGAAUGGGUUCGCUCAUUUCUGCUGCUCGAGAAGUGGAGUAAAUCUUAUCAUUUAGAGGAAGGAGAAGUCGUAACA
This 329-nucleotide ribosomal RNA is filed under the name uncultured eukaryote. RNAcentral's name for it is "partial 18S ribosomal RNA". It matches the Rfam family "Eukaryotic small subunit ribosomal RNA", at positions 1470 to 1796 of the family's 1831-position model. The record is from RNAcentral.